RNAcentral lists this ribosomal RNA (252 nucleotides) under uncultured bacterium. Its description in RNAcentral is "partial 16S ribosomal RNA". It matches the Rfam family "Bacterial small subunit ribosomal RNA", at positions 524 to 776 of the family's 1533-position model. The record is from RNAcentral.
UACGUAGGUCCCGAGCGUUGUCCGGAUUUAUUGGGCGUAAAGCGAGCGCAGGUGGUUUAUUAAGUCUGGUGUAAAAGGCAGUGGCUCAACCAUUGUAUGCAUUGGAAACUGGUAGACUUAAGUGCAGGAGAGGAGAGUGGAAUUCCAUGUGUAGCGGUGAAAUGCGUAGAUAUAUGGAAGAACACCAGUGGCGAAAGCGGCUCUCUGGUCUGUAACUGACGCUGAGGUUCGAAAGCGUGGGUAGCAAACAGG